CAGGGACAACAACCUAAGGCUGGGCGGAUGAGAGUGGAGUAGCAGAGCCCUUCUGAGAGGCGCAGGCCAGCAGGGAGCCAGGAAUUUCCAUGACGAAACAGACCAGGGGAAACCUUGGCAUCUUGGAGCCCUGAUGAGGGAAACCUCAGGGCUGGAGAAGGAAGGGGCCUCCCAAUACCCAGAGGAGGCUGCUGGUAAAAAAAAUAAGGACAGAGCUACGUUCCUCUUCACUCCCGGCACAGCGCCCUGCCUGGCACACAGUAGGUGCGCAGUAAAGAUGUGCCAAGGGAAUGCAUUCUGCAGAGGAGACUACAGGAUGGCCAAGGGCUGCAACGAGGAACUGGCAUGGCGUCUGCAUCUCUGCCGAUGUCUGAAGGGACCAGGUCGGAUUGAUUGGUGAAAGCUCUGGCUCCAAAUCCCCAAGAAUCUGACUGGCCAAAGUUUGGGCACACAUCGGUAUCUGACCCACCGGAAACGGAGUGGGUCACCUGCCUCAAGUGUCUGUCCCAGGCCCCUGCCUCUGUGUGCCUCCUCUAGGAAAGGGAACUGUAUGAACUGGGCAGCUGGCGUCACAGUGUCCGUCGCACCCAGGAGCAGUCACUGAUGUCCCUUUGCUGUGCAAUGCCCUCACCAGUGCGGACCACCACCACUGCCCUCAUCCAGUGAGUGCUUUCCUUGGGCCGGGCGCCUGCAGCCCUCAGUGCGCCCUGCUUCACUGAGUCCUCUCUACAGCCCAUUUUACACAUACAGAAACUGAGGCCUUGCGUGCCUGAGGACACAGGGAUGGGCAGAGCUGAAAUUCAGCCCUGGGGUCUGCCUCUAGAGUCUGGACUUUUCACACCGACUCUACUCCCUGCAAGGGAGCCAAGGCAGCAUGGACGUCCCUCCCCUGCCCAUAGGACUGGGGUACAAGACACCUCAGCACGGGGAAGACCGAGGCCCGGGCCCUCAGUUGGAUGAGCUGGGCGAGGGAGAUUCUGGUUUCCCGACAGGAGCAGGAUCUUCACACAUCCCGUCCCCGAGCUCCCCACCUCAUGGGCCGGCCUAUUUUCUGGACCUUCAAGGAAAUCAGCGCGCGGAGACCCUUGUAAAAAGGCUAUGAUUCAGCAACUCUUCAAAACUGAAGUCGUCCUUUAAGGUCCUCAAAUAAUUCUCUACAUGGGAACGCAAAAUUGAGAACAUUCCACGACUUCCAGGACCUCUGCCCCCUCAGCUACCUCCUCUGUGAAGAUCAACGCAGUAUAGACUGCUCCUCAGGGACGGAGGGGGCUGGAGAUCAAUUACAAAAGGGAGCCACUUUCUCAUUGCUGGAACAAAAUGCGUGACGCCUACAACUUCAAGGAAGGUUCACCGUGGCUCGCCAUUUCGGGGUCUCAGCCUGUGCUUGGGAGGUGCACAGGCGAAACACCACGGUGGUGGAGGGAAGCUGCUCACCCUGUGGCAGCCAGGAAGCAGAGAGGGAGCAGGCCGCUGUGGAGGGGAGGCCACGUCCCCAGCGACACAGCUCUUCUGGUCAGACCCCGCCUCCUACCUGCUCACUCACCAGCUGAGCAACAGUGGGUCAACGCGCUGAUGAGUGCAGCACCCCACAAUCCAACGCAUCUUGCAAGCACAGGAGGCUUUGUGGGGCAGCCCAGAUCUAAACCGUGACAGUAGUGUUUAUCGGAAAAUAUUUCAGGACUUUGC
This is a long non-coding RNA of Chinchilla lanigera (long-tailed chinchilla), 1686 nucleotides long. RefSeq lists it as uncharacterized. The transcript has 6 exons. Lineage: Eukaryota; Metazoa; Chordata; Mammalia; Rodentia; Chinchillidae. The record is from RefSeq and is a predicted model, not a curated record.